RNAcentral lists this microRNA precursor (95 nucleotides) under Carica papaya (papaya). RNAcentral describes it as "miR156e stem-loop (cpa-MIR156e)". Its record names the gene cpa-MIR156e. The record is from miRBase by way of RNAcentral. Lineage: Eukaryota; Viridiplantae; Streptophyta; Magnoliopsida; Brassicales; Caricaceae.
UUGACAGAAGAUAGAGAGCACAGAUGAUGAAAUGCAAAUUAGAAGGACCAAACAGUGCAUCUCACUCCUUUGUGCUCUCUAUUCUUCUGUCAUCA